GGAUCCAGACUUUGAUUAUGGCUCAGGAUGAACGCUAGCUACAGGCUUAACACAUGCAAGUCGAGGGGAAACGAUAGAGAAAGCUUGCUUUUUCUAGGCGUCGACCGGCGCACGGGUGAGUAACGCGUAUCCAACCUGCCCACCACUUAGGAAUAACCUUGCGAAAGUAAGACUAAUACCCAAUGAUAUCUCUAGAAGACAUCUGAAGGAGAUUAAAGAUUUAUCGGUGAUGGAUGGGGAUGCGUCUGAUUAGCUUGUUGGCGGGGUAACGGCCCACCAAGGCGACGAUCAGUAGGGGUUCUGAAAGGAAGGUCCCCCACAUUGGAACUGAGACACGGUCCAAACUCCUACGGGAGGCAGCAGUGAGGAAUAUUGGUCAAUGGGCGAGAGCCUGAACCAGCCAAGUAGCGUGCAGGAUGACGGCCCUAUGGGUUGUAAACUGCUUUUAUAAGGGAAUAAAGUGAGCCUCGUGAGGCUUUUUGCAUGUACCUUAUGAAUAAGGACCGGCUAAUUCCGUGCCAGCAGCCGCGGUAAUACGGAAGGUCCGGGCGUUAUCCGGAUUUAUUGGGUUUAAAGGGAGCGUAGGCCGGAGAUUAAGCGUGUUGUGAAAUGUAGAUGCUCAACAUCUGCACUGCAGCGCGAACUGGUUUCCUUGAGUACGCACAAAGUGGGCGGAAUUCGUGGUGUAGCGGUGAAAUGCUUAGAUAUCACGAAGAACUCCGAUUGCGAAGGCAGCUCACUGGAGCGCAACUGACGCUGAAGCUCGAAAGUGCGGGUAUCGAACAGGAUUAGAUACCCUGGUAGUCCGCACGGUAAACGAUGGAUGUCCGCUGUUGGUCUGAAUAGGUCAGCGGCCAAGCGAAAGCAUUAAGCAUCCCACCUGGGGAGUACGCCGGCAACGGUGCAACUCAAAGGAAUUGACGG
RNAcentral lists this ribosomal RNA (924 nucleotides) under uncultured Bacteroidota bacterium. RNAcentral describes it as "bacterial SSU rRNA". It matches the Rfam family "Bacterial small subunit ribosomal RNA", at positions 1 to 916 of the family's 1533-position model. Lineage: Bacteria; Pseudomonadati; Bacteroidota. The record is from RNAcentral.